GGUGCUGGUGCUCAGAAAAGAAUUUUAGUUCGGCCUUAAAACAAUUUUCAAUAAAUUUAAUAAAAAAUAUUAAUUAAGAGUUACUCAAUAGAGGUACAGCUCUCUUGAAAAAGAAUACAACCUAAAAUUUUGGGUAAAGAUUAUAAUUACUAAAGAAAUAUGUUUAAGUGGGCUUGAAAGCAGCCACCUUGAAAGAAAGCGUCACAGCUCUAUCACUAUUAACCCUAACAAUACCUAUAAAUUCCUCCUAACCCACCCCUUAUACUGAGCUAAUCUAUUGAAAAUAGAAUUAUUAAUGCUAGAAUUAGUAACAAGAAAUAAAUUUCUCCUAAUGUAAGUGUAAAUCAGAUUGAACACAUCACCGAUACUUAACGACCCUUCCGAAGGGAUUAUAACAACCACCUACAAGAAAAACCUAUAAUAUUAACCGUUAACCUAACACAAGAACAUUCAAAGAAAGAUUAAAAGACAUUGAAGGAACUCGGCAAACUAGACCCUCGCCUG
RNAcentral lists this ribosomal RNA (504 nucleotides) under Ascaphus truei (coastal tailed frog). RNAcentral describes it as "partial 16S ribosomal RNA". The record is from RNAcentral. Lineage: Eukaryota; Metazoa; Chordata; Amphibia; Anura; Ascaphidae.